AUCUUCCAAUCUCUUGAUCUGGCAUGGACACUUCUUCGCAUCUUUCCUCGUGAGCUUCUCCACCGUAUACCAGGAAAGACCCUUGACCAGUACUACAGCCGUGAUGCAGCUAAUUGAUGAAGAAGCCCUCUCGUACUGACAUGUACCUUGCUGCCUCAUUGGUUUUGUCUACAAUUUGUUUAUUCACCAGCUUUUUGAUAUAGGUUGCAUUUCUCCGUUGAGCAGAAAUAAUAAAGGUUGUAGUCCACUUGAGGCCCCCGUGCGAAGCUCUUCGUCUAGUCAAAAGAUGCAAAUAUUCUCUCAGUGGAGUGC
Molecule: long non-coding RNA, 312 nt
Filed under: Citrus maxima (pomelo)
Lineage: Eukaryota; Viridiplantae; Streptophyta; Magnoliopsida; Sapindales; Rutaceae
Description: long non-coding RNA (CMAX_LNC003266)
Source: RNAcentral